GAUGAACGCUAGCAGAACGCCUAACACAUGCAAGUCGAACGAGAAGCUACCUUCGGGUAGUGGAAAGUGGCAAACGGGCGAGUAACACGUACUUAACCUACCCUGAAGUAGUGAAUAACCAUAGAGAUAUGGCUAAUACACUAUAAUCCCUACUAGCUGAAAUGCUAUAUGGGCAAAGAUUUAUCGCUUUAGGAGGGGGGUGCGGAGCAUCAGAUAGUUGGUGAGGUAAAGGCUCACCAAGUCUAUGACGCUUAGUCGGUCUGAGAGGAUGUCCGGCCGCAAUGGAACUGAGACACGGUCCAUACCCCUACGGGGGGCAGCAGUGGGGAAUAUUGCACAAUGGGCGCAAGCCUGAUGCAGCGAUUCUGCGUGGAGGAUGACACCCUGCGGGGCGUAAACUCCUUUUCUGGUGGAAGACGAAUGACGGUACACCAGGAAUAAGGGACGGCUAACUAUG
This 457-nucleotide ribosomal RNA is filed under the name uncultured bacterium. Its description in RNAcentral is "bacterial SSU rRNA". It matches the Rfam family "Bacterial small subunit ribosomal RNA", at positions 28 to 505 of the family's 1533-position model. The record is from RNAcentral.